RNAcentral lists this long non-coding RNA (472 nucleotides) under Lupinus angustifolius (narrow-leaved blue lupine). RNAcentral's name for it is "long non-coding RNA (LANG_LNC002420)". The record is from RNAcentral. Lineage: Eukaryota; Viridiplantae; Streptophyta; Magnoliopsida; Fabales; Fabaceae.
GCUUAUAUUGUAGGUUAGAUGUGCCCAAGUAGCCAACUGAUGUGCCACUAGCUGUGGAUUGCUAAUGACCCUUAAGUGUUGGUGAUGCACCAAGUGUGGUUUCUAGUGCGCCAAUAUUGCUUGCUAAUGCACCAACUAGUGUGCCAGCGUUCCUUGCUGAUGCGCCAUUUGUACUGUCCAUGACAUGGCCAGAUGCGCAAGGCAUGUGGUCGUGUUCUGCAGCUCCGUUGGUUAGAUCCUAUACUGUCUCGGUCAGAUGUGCUUGAUCGUGGCUCAUAUGGUGUUUGGACACGAUGCAUGUCCUCUCUGUCAGACUGUCUUGGUCGUGGCUCGUCACCUCCGUGUAUGGUGUAUGCUUCUCUCGACCAUUUGACUUGUCACCUCGGUUAGAUUUCUUGGGUCAUGGCACAUGCUUCUCGCUAUUAGAUGGCUCAACAUCUCAGUCACGAUUUCUGGACAUAGCUUGAUUAUU